RNAcentral lists this ribosomal RNA (518 nucleotides) under uncultured bacterium. RNAcentral describes it as "partial 16S ribosomal RNA". It matches the Rfam family "Bacterial small subunit ribosomal RNA", at positions 28 to 523 of the family's 1533-position model. The record is from RNAcentral.
GACGAACGCUGGCGGCGUGCCUAAUACAUGCAAGUCGAGCGGAAAUUUUAUUGGUGCUUGCGCCUUUGAAAUUUUAGCGGCGGACGGGUGAGUAACACGUGGGUAACCUGCCUUAUAGAUUGGGAUAACUCCGGGAAACCGGGGCUAAUACCGAAUAAUACUUUUAAACACAUGUUUUGAAGUUGAAAGACGGUUUCGGCUGUCGCUAUAAGAUGGACCCGCGGCGCAUUAGCUAGUUGGUGAGGUAACGGCUCACCACGGCAACGAUGCGUAGACGACCUGAGAGUGUGAUCGGCCACACUGGGACUGAGAAACGGCCCAGACUCCUACGGGAGGCAGCAGUAGGGAAUCUUCCACAAUGGACGAAAGUCUGAUGGAGCAACGCCGCGUGAGUGAAGAAGGAUUUCGGUUCGUAAAACUCUGUUGCAAGGGAAGAACAAGUAGCGUAGUAACUGGCGCUACCUUGACGGUACCUUGUUAGAAAGCCACGGCUAACUACGUGCCAGCCGCCGCAGUAA